ACUCAAAGGAAUUGACGGGGGCCCGCACAAGCAGCGGAGCGUGUGGUUUAAUUCGAGGCUACACGAAGAACCUUACCUGGGUUUGACAUAGCAGUGGUAGUGAAGCGAAAGCGGAACGACCUUCGGGAGCUGUUACAGGUGCUGCAUGGCUGUCGUCAGCUCGUGUCGUGAGAUGUUCGGUUAAGUCCGGUAACGAGCGCAACCCUCAGGUCUAGUUACAAGUGUCUAGACCGACUGCCCGGAGGAACUGGGAGGAAGGUGGGGAUGACGUCAAGUCAGCAUGGCCUUUAUAUCCAGGGCUACACACACGCUACAAUGGUCGGUCCAAUGGGAAGCCAAGCCGCAAGGCGGAGCCAAUCCUGAAAAGCCGAUCUCAGUUCGGAUUGUCGGCUGCAACUCGCCGGCAUGAAGUUGGAGUUGCUAGUAAACGCAGGUCAGCCAUACUGCGUUGAAUACGUUCCCGGGCCUUGUACACACCGCCCGU
RNAcentral lists this ribosomal RNA (484 nucleotides) under uncultured bacterium. Its description in RNAcentral is "partial 16S ribosomal RNA". It matches the Rfam family "Bacterial small subunit ribosomal RNA", at positions 899 to 1397 of the family's 1533-position model. The record is from RNAcentral.